Daphnia pulex (common water flea) is the source of this 72-nucleotide non-coding RNA. The record is from Rfam. Lineage: Eukaryota; Metazoa; Arthropoda; Branchiopoda; Diplostraca; Daphniidae.
GCCUCCUUAGCUCAGUGGCAGAGCACUAGUCUUGUAAACUAGGGGCCGUGAGUUCAAUUCUCACAGGGGGCA